GCUAGUAAUCGCGGAUCAGAAUGCCGCGGUGAAUACGUUCCCGGGUCUUGUACACACCGCCCGUCACACCAUGGGAGUCGGAAAUGCCCGAAGUCUGUGACCCAACCGUAAGGAGGGAGCAGCCGAAGGCAGGUCGGAUGACUGGGGUGAAGUCGUAACAAGGUAUC
This 167-nucleotide ribosomal RNA is filed under the name uncultured bacterium. Its description in RNAcentral is "partial 16S ribosomal RNA". It matches the Rfam family "Bacterial small subunit ribosomal RNA", at positions 1334 to 1500 of the family's 1533-position model. The record is from RNAcentral.